GGGACUGUGGGGUAGCUUGGUCCAUCCUUCGGGGUUCGGGACUCCGAGACGCCAGUUCAAAUCUGGCCAGUCCCA
Molecule: transfer RNA, 75 nt
Filed under: Thermoplasmata archaeon
Lineage: Archaea; Methanobacteriati; Thermoplasmatota; Thermoplasmata
Also listed under: 5 other names
Description: tRNA-Pro
Rfam family: tRNA
About the family: Transfer RNA (tRNA) molecules are approximately 80 nucleotides in length. Their secondary structure includes four short double-helical elements and three loops (D, anti-codon, and T loops).
Source: RNAcentral